This 253-nucleotide ribosomal RNA is filed under the name uncultured bacterium. Its description in RNAcentral is "partial 16S ribosomal RNA". It matches the Rfam family "Bacterial small subunit ribosomal RNA", at positions 524 to 776 of the family's 1533-position model. The record is from RNAcentral.
UACGUAGGGGGCAAGCGUUAUCCGGAUUUACUGGGUGUAAAGGGGGCGCAGACGGCGAUGCAAGCCAGGAGUGAAAGCCCGGGGCCCAACCCCGGGACUGCUCUUGGAACUGCGUGGCUGGAGUGCAGGAGGGGCAGGCGGAAUUCCUGGUGUAGCGGUGAAAUGCGUGGAUAUCAGGAGGAACACCGGUGGCGAAGGCGGCCUGCUGGACUGCAACUGACGUUGAGGCCCGAAAGCGUGGGGAGCAAACAGG